This 450-nucleotide ribosomal RNA is filed under the name uncultured Actinomycetes bacterium. Its description in RNAcentral is "bacterial SSU rRNA". It matches the Rfam family "Bacterial small subunit ribosomal RNA", at positions 1049 to 1498 of the family's 1533-position model. Lineage: Bacteria; Bacillati; Actinomycetota; Actinomycetes. The record is from RNAcentral.
CUGUCGUCAGCUCGUGUCGUGAGAUGUUGGGUUAAGUCCCGCAACGAGCGCAACCCUUAUUCUAUGUUGCCAGCAAGUAAUGUUGGGGACUCAUGGAAGACCGCCGGGGUCAACUCGGAGGAAGGUGGGGAUGACGUCAAGUCCUCAUGCCCCUUAUGUCCAGGGCUGCAAACACGCUACAAUGGCCGAUACAAAGGGUCGCUUGCCCGCGAGGGUUGGCCAAUCCCAUAAAGUCGGUCUCAGUUCGGAUUGAAGUCUGCAACUCGACUUCAUGAAGCUGGAGUUGCUAGUAAUCCCGGAUCAGCACGCCGGGGUGAAUACGUUCCCGGGCCUUGUACACACCGCCCGUCACACCACGAAAGUCGGCAACACCCGAAGCCGGUGGCCUAACCGAAAGGAAGGAGCCGUCGAAGGUGGGGUCGGUGAUUGGGGUGAAGUCGUAACAAGGUA